UACGGGGGGGGCAAGCGUUGUUCGGAAUUACUGGGCGUAAAGGGCUCGUAGGCGGCCAACUAAGUCAGACGUGAAAUCCCCAGGCUCAACCUGGGAACUGCGUCUGAUACUGGAUGGCUUGAAUCCGGGAGAGGGAUGCAGAAUUCCAGGUGUAGCGGUGAAAUGCGUAGAUAUCUGGAGGAACACCGGUGGCGAAGGCGACCAUCUGGACGACAACUGACGCUGAGGCGCGAAAGCGUGGGGAGCAAACAGG
RNAcentral lists this ribosomal RNA (253 nucleotides) under uncultured bacterium. RNAcentral's name for it is "partial 16S ribosomal RNA". It matches the Rfam family "Bacterial small subunit ribosomal RNA", at positions 524 to 776 of the family's 1533-position model. The record is from RNAcentral.